Molecule: long non-coding RNA, 2016 nt
Filed under: Mus musculus (house mouse)
Lineage: Eukaryota; Metazoa; Chordata; Mammalia; Rodentia; Muridae
Description: predicted gene 3764
Source: RNAcentral
UGUUAUUUUGGUGGUGGGCAUGGUCCCAGAUAGGGGCAGCGUUCCCCUUUUUCCUGGCUUUUCAGGGAGAGCAGCAAGAGAAAGAAAGAAGCAAACGAAAUUCCUGAAUGGAUAAGAGAUGCUACGUCAGCGGUACUGGAGCCGCAUCCUCCACUCCACGAGAAGAGAAGAGCUAGGAGAGACCAGCGGGCGGUAGCUGCGGCGAGUGGCCUCUCCGUGCGGCACAGAGGCAAGAAGCAGCCAUCCAUCCAGAAGCAGCCUCCGUGUUCCGUUUGUCCGGAUGUCAUCGUAGGUGGCCGGCAUCUCUGGCUUUGGGCUUCUCCCCUGGGGGCGGGUGGGUGCUCCACCCUCCCGCCCACUCUCUGAGGACAUGAGGAACAUGGUAUCCAGCACCACGGACAGCUCCCAGCGGUGAGUGAGCCUGCUGACCCCUGUAGGAAAAUGGUGGUUUUGUCUAUUCCAGGCAGACAUCCUGCACUACAUUCCAGAUCUGAUGAGGCAUGGCUGCCCCAGGAUUACUGGGCUCGGACGGGAGCAGUGGUAGGAAGGAUCCUAUAUAAGUCAUGUGAGACAUAGAAUGUUCAGAUCAACUGAAGCUGAAACAAGCCUUUGGCAUCAUAUAUAACCCAGAAAGGGACAAAGCUGAUCCCAGAGGACUCAAGGCUAUGGGUGAUGUCGAAGGUGCGGAAGAAUCAAGUUGGAAAGACCAGCAGGAGACAGACAGAGUAAGGUUCCUUGAAUGCUUGGUUUAUGUGCCUGGCUGGAGGAGACACCCAUGGCCUUGCAGAGGGAGCGUUCUGGUGGGAAAGCAGACACAACCCACCCUAGGCCCGUGGUUUCCCUGCAAGAAGCCCAGUGGCUUUCUGGAGGACACUUUUCCUGGAGGAAGUGACUCAAGAGCAGCAUAAGCCAGGCUCUAUGGAAUGUUGGGUGAGCUGCUUGAGGAACUCCAAGGCCUGUCCCACAGUCUUCCAGCCUCCGACUCUCCGGCCCUCAGCGAGGAAGUCCCACUGGUUUUUUUGGUUGGUUUUUUUUUUUUUUUUUAAGGUUUUUUGGUUUUUUUUUUUUUUUCUCAUUCCUGUCUUGGGAGCUUUCCCCAACCAGGAGAGUGAAGAUGGGCGGAGCUGUCACACCAACUGUUAGCCUGCCUUGGCUGAGAGGAGAGGAGGCGAGGAGGGAGCGACCACCCAGCUUUAGUCGUUUUAAAACAGCUCCUGACCCUAGAAGAAGGGAAAUGGAGAUGAAGACCCAAUUGACUUGCAGACUGAUCGAACACACAGGCUUCUCAGCCCACUCCCUCCAGUCAAGGUUAAGGCCUGGCAAAGGUGGAGGAAGAGAAGCUGAGGAGAAAAAGGCGAGGAGAGCCUAGGCACAGGAAGGUGACCGCUUCCCUCCCUCCCAGUGCUGAUUUCCUGUGGACCAGAUUCCAGCACAGUGGAGGGCCAGAGCUCAGGGAACAGACCCAGCAGCACAGCAAGUCUCCAAGGAAAGCUCUAGCAGUCUCCAGGGGCUGAAGGCAGGACUGGGGAAGCGGCUAGCCAGGCUGCAGAAGGCAAAUGCUCCCAGACGGCUGUCCAGCACGCAUCCGCCUUCCUAGCCAAGUUUCCUGGGCUCCUGCCACAGAUCUAAGCCUCAUCCUGACAUCCUGCCCUCUGUGCUCUGGGAUGGCCCAGGGGAGAUGCUUAGCCUUGGCUCCUUGUCUGCUGGUGGAGGGGACACACACCCUUUCUGGACCACAGACCAAAAAGAAGACCUGACGUCAUCCUGAGCACCCCCGCCAUGCAGAGUGUGUUCGCAGACUGCCAACGGGCUGGCUCCGGCCAGCAGAAGUGAACAGAGGUGGAGGUUCAGCCUGACAGCUUCUCCCCAAAGCCAUGGAGAGAAAACCUUACCACCCCCACCGCCCAGCUACUUCCAGCAAGUUGUCCAGCCUGACCCCUCUAUUUCCCCUGUUGUCUCUUAUCUGGGUCCCUGAGACCCACCCCAUCUCCAAUAAAGAACAUUGCAUACUGUGCA